GAUCGUAAAGCUCUGUUGUUAGGGAAGAACAAGUGCGAGAGUAACUGCUCGCACCUUGACGGUACCUAACCAGAAAGCCACGGCUAACUACGUGCCAGCAGCCGCGGUAAUACGUAGGUGGCAAGCGUUGUCCGGAAUUAUUGGGCGUAAAGGGCUCGCAGGCGGUUUCUUAAGUCUGAUGUGAAAGCCCCCGGCUCAACCGGGGAGGGUCAUUGGAAACUGGGAAACUUGAGUGCAGAAGAGGAGAGUGGAAUUCCACGUGUAGCGGUGAAAUGCGUAGAGAUGUGGAGGAACACCAGUGGCGAAGGCGACUCUCUGGUCUGUAACUGACGCUGAGGAGCGAAAGCGUGGGGAGCGAACAGGAUUAGAUACCCUGGUAGUCCACGCCGUAAACGAUGAGUGCUAAGUGUUAGGGGGUUUCCGCCCCUUAGUGCUGCAGCUAACGCAUUAAGCACUCCGCCUGGGGAGUACGGUCGCAAGACUGAAACUCAAAGGAAUUGACGGGGGCCCGCACAAGCGGUGGAGCAUGUGGUUUAAUUCGAAGCAACGCGAAGAACCUUACCAGGUCUUGACAUCCUCUGACAACCCUAGAGAUAGGGCUUUCCCUUCGGGGACAGAGUGACAGGUGGUGCAUGGUUGUCGUCAGCUCGUGUCGUGAGAUGUUGGGUUAAGUCCCGCAACGAGCGCAACCCUUGAUCUUAGUUGCCAGCAUUCAGUUGGGCACUCUAAGGUGACUGCCGGUGACAAACCGGAGGAAGGUGGGGAUGACGUCAAAUCAUCAUGCCCCUUAUGACCUGGGCUACACACGUGCUACAAUGGACAGAACAAAGGGCUGCAAGACCGCAAGGUUUAGCCAAUCCCAUAAAUCUGUUCUCAGUUCGGAUCGCAGUCUGCAACUCGACUGCGUGAAGCUGGAAUCGCUAGUAAUCGCGGAUCAGCAUGCCGCGGUGAAUACGUUCCCGGGCCUUGUACACACCGCCCGUCACACCACGAGAGUUUGCAACACCCGAAGUCGGUGAGGUAACCUUUA
RNAcentral lists this ribosomal RNA (1030 nucleotides) under Bacillus sp. (in: firmicutes). RNAcentral describes it as "bacterial SSU rRNA". It matches the Rfam family "Bacterial small subunit ribosomal RNA", at positions 421 to 1444 of the family's 1533-position model. Lineage: Bacteria; Bacillati; Bacillota; Bacilli; Caryophanales; Bacillaceae. The record is from RNAcentral.